AGUGAACGCUGGCGGUAGGCCUAACACAUGCAAGUCGAACGGCAGCACAGUAAGAGCUUGCUCUUACGGGUGGCGAGUGGCGGACGGGUGAGGAAUACAUCGGAAUCUACUUUUUCGUGGGGGAUAACGUAGGGAAACUUACGCUAAUACCGCAUACGACCUACGGGUGAAAGCAGGGGAUCUUCGGACCUUGCGCGAUUGAUUGAGCCGAUGUCGGAUUAGCUAGUUGGCGGGGUAAAGGCCCACCAAGGCGACGAUCCGUAGCUGGUCUGAGAGGAUGAUCAGCCACACUGGAACUGAGACACGGUCCAGACUCCUACGGGAGGCAGCAGUGGGGAAUAUUGGACAAUGGGCGCAGGCCUGAUCCAGCCAUACCGCGUGGGUGAAGAAGGCCUUCGGGUUGUAAAGCCCUUUUGUUGGGAAAGAAAAGCAGCAGGUUAAUACCCCGCUGUUCUGACGGUACCCAAAGAAUAAGCACCGGCUAACUUCGUG
RNAcentral lists this ribosomal RNA (492 nucleotides) under uncultured bacterium. Its description in RNAcentral is "partial 16S ribosomal RNA". It matches the Rfam family "Bacterial small subunit ribosomal RNA", at positions 29 to 507 of the family's 1533-position model. The record is from RNAcentral.